CAGUCGCCACGGGAAUACGUAGGUGGCAAGCGUUGCCCGGAAUUAUUGGGCGUAAAGGGCUCGCAGGCGGUUUCUUAAGUCUGAUGUGAAAGCCCCCGGCUCAACCGGGGAGGGUCAUUGGAAACUGGGAAACUUGAGUGCAGAAGAGGAGAGUGGAAUUCCACGUGUAGCGGUGAAAUGCGUAGAGAUGUGGAGGAACACCAGUGGCGAAGGCGACUCUCUGGUCUGUAACUGACGCUGAGGAGCGAAAGCGUGGGGAGCGAACAGGAUUAGAUACCCCGGUAGUCCCUGUCUCUUAUAU
Molecule: ribosomal RNA, 301 nt
Filed under: uncultured bacterium
Lineage: Bacteria
Description: partial 16S ribosomal RNA
Rfam family: Bacterial small subunit ribosomal RNA
Source: RNAcentral